AAUAGAUACCCGGGUAGUCCACCCGUAAACGUUGGGAACUAGUUGUGGGGUCCUUUCCACGGAUUCCGUGACGCAGCUAACGCAUUAAGUUCCCCGCCUGGGGAGUACGGCCGCAAGGCUAAAACUCAAAGGAAUUGACGGGGACCCGCACAAGCGGCGGAGCAUGCGGAUUAAUUCGAUGCAACGCGAAGAACCUUACCAAGGCUUGACAUAUUCGAGAACACCCUAGAAAUAGGGGACUCUUUGGACACUCGUUUACAGGUGGUGCAUGGUUGUCGUCAGCUCGUGUCGUGAGAUGUUGGGUUAAGUCCCGCAACGAGCGCAACCCUCGUUCUAUGUUGCCAGCACGUUAUGGUGGGAACUCAUGGGAUACUGCCGGGGUCAACUCGGAGGAAGGUGGGGAUGACGUCAAAUCAUCAUGCCCCUUAUGUCUUGGGCUUCACGCAUGCUACAAUGGCCGGUACAAUGGGCUGCGAUACCGUGAGGUGGAGCGAAUCCCAAAAGCCGGUCCCAGUUCGGAUUGUAGUCUGCAACUCGACUACAUG
Molecule: ribosomal RNA, 545 nt
Filed under: uncultured bacterium
Lineage: Bacteria
Description: bacterial SSU rRNA
Rfam family: Bacterial small subunit ribosomal RNA
Source: RNAcentral